ACGGUUUGAACGCUCUUUAGUCAGCGUAAGACAGAUCAAACCGCGGCCGUACAUAGCCAUGAAGUUAAUCGCUUCUGGCGUAACAUGUUCUGCUGCCAUGAUCA
Molecule: antisense RNA, 104 nt
Filed under: Vibrio chagasii
Lineage: Bacteria; Pseudomonadati; Pseudomonadota; Gammaproteobacteria; Vibrionales; Vibrionaceae
Description: V_AS9
Rfam family: Vibrio RNA AS9
About the family: Identified by direct cloning an parallel sequencing experiments with 5S/tRNA depletion. Confirmed by Northern blot.
Source: RNAcentral